Molecule: ribosomal RNA, 497 nt
Filed under: uncultured bacterium
Lineage: Bacteria
Description: partial 16S ribosomal RNA
Rfam family: Bacterial small subunit ribosomal RNA
Source: RNAcentral
GAUGAACGCUGGCGGCGUGCCUAAUACAUGCAAGUCGAGCGAACGGACGAUAAGCUCGUGCCUCUGAUGUUAGCGGGUGACGGACGGGUAACGCAUGCAUCACCUACUUAUAUUACUGGGAGAACUUCGGAAAACAGCUGCUACUACUGCCUGAUACUUUGUACCGCUUGGAUCAAAAGUGAAUGACGCUCUUCGCGUUUCUUAUAGAUGAUUCCGGGUUGGAUUAGCUAGUUGGUAAGGUAACGGCUAACCAAGGCAACGAUGCAUAGCCGACCUGAGAGGAUGAUCGGCCACACUGGAACUGAGACACGGUCCAGACUCCUACGGGAGGCAGCAGUGGGGAAUCUUCCGCAAUGGGCGCAAGCCUGACGCAGCAAUGCCGCGUGAGUGAUGAAGGCCUUCGGGUCGUAAAACUCUGUUGUUGGGAAAGAACAGAUGCGGAAGUAACUGCGGCCGUCCUGACGGUACCUAAUGAAAAAGCAACGGCUAACUACGUG